This 424-nucleotide ribosomal RNA is filed under the name uncultured beta proteobacterium. RNAcentral describes it as "bacterial SSU rRNA". It matches the Rfam family "Bacterial small subunit ribosomal RNA", at positions 958 to 1385 of the family's 1533-position model. Lineage: Bacteria; Pseudomonadati; Pseudomonadota; Betaproteobacteria. The record is from RNAcentral.
AACGCGAAGAACCUUACCUACCCUUGACAUGCCAGGGAGCCCGAUGAGAGUUGGGUGUGCCCGAAAGGGAGCCUGGACACAGGUGCUGCAUGGCUGUCGUCAGCUCGUGUCGUGAGAUGUUGGGUUAAGUCCCGCAACGAGCGCAACCCUUGUCACUAGUUGCUACGCAAGGGCACUCUAGUGAGACUGCCGGUGACAAACCGGAGGAAGGUGGGGAUGACGUCAAGUCCUCAUGGCCCUUAUGGGUAGGGCUUCACACGUCAUACAAUGGCGCAUACAAAGGGCUGCCAACCCGCGAGGGGGAGCCAAUCCCAGAAAGUGCGUCGUAGUCCGGAUUGCAGUCUGCAACUCGACUGCAUGAAGUCGGAAUCGCUAGUAAUCGCGGAUCAGCAAUGUCGCGGUGAAUACGUUCCCGGGCCUUGUA